GGCAGCAGUGGGGAAUAUUGCACAAUGGGCGCAAGCCUGAUGCAGCCAUGCCGCGUGUAUGAAGAAGGCCUUCGGGUUGUAAAGUACUUUCAGCAGUGAGGAAGGUGGGUAUGUUAAUAGCAUACUCAUUUGACGUUAGCUGCAGAAGAAGCACCGGCUAACUCCGUGCCAGCAGCCGCGGUAAUACGGAGGGUGCGAGCGUUAAUCGGAAUUACUGGGCGUAAAGCGCAUGCAGGUGGUUUGUUAAGUCAGAUGUGAAAGCCCCGGGGCUCAACCUCGGAAUUGCAUUUGAAACUGGCAAACUAGAGUACUGUAGAGGGGGUAGAAUUUCAGGUGUAGCGGUGAAAUGCGUAGAGAUCUGAAGGAAUACCGGUGGCGAAGGCGGCCCCCUGGACAGAUACUGACACUCAGAUGCGAAAGCGUGGGGAGCAAACAGGAUUAGAUACCCUUGUAG
This 454-nucleotide ribosomal RNA is filed under the name uncultured bacterium. RNAcentral's name for it is "bacterial SSU rRNA". It matches the Rfam family "Bacterial small subunit ribosomal RNA", at positions 347 to 793 of the family's 1533-position model. The record is from RNAcentral.